GAUGAACGCUAGCUACAGGCUUAACACAUGCAAGUCGAGGGGCAGCAUUAUCGAAGCUUGCUUUGAUAGAUGGCGACCGGCGUACGGGUGCGUAACACGUAUCCAAUCUACCCAUGGCUCAGGGAUAGCCUUUCGAAAGAAAGAUUAAUACCUGAUGGUCUUACAUGGAGACAUCUCUUUGUAAGUAAAGAUUUAUCGGCGAUGGAUGAGGAUGCGUCUGAUUAGAUAGUAGGCGGGGUAACGGCCCACCUAGUCGACGAUCAGUAGGGGUUCUGAGAGGAAGGUCCCCCACAUUGGAACUGAGACACGGUCCAGACUCC
Molecule: ribosomal RNA, 320 nt
Filed under: uncultured Prevotella sp.
Lineage: Bacteria; Pseudomonadati; Bacteroidota; Bacteroidia; Bacteroidales; Prevotellaceae
Description: bacterial SSU rRNA
Rfam family: Bacterial small subunit ribosomal RNA
Source: RNAcentral